This is a long non-coding RNA of Ananas comosus (pineapple), 316 nucleotides long. RefSeq lists it as uncharacterized. The record is from RefSeq and is a predicted model, not a curated record. NCBI's taxonomy places the organism in Eukaryota, Viridiplantae, Streptophyta, Magnoliopsida, Poales, Bromeliaceae. The transcript has 2 exons.
AGCCAUCCAUCUCCAUCGAGGGUUGCUAACAGGUCCGGUACAUUACAGCAAUGUUUUUUCACACGUGUACAAUUCAAGCUACGGAGACGGCUUUCAAACAGUAGCAUUACUGAUGGCAAUCCAAUCAGCAAAAUUUGUAGCCUCUGUUGUUUCGUGGGAACAAAGAAUUACCCUAUUUUUCUAUGAGGCACAGUAUAAUUACUUGACAGUCAAAAAAAAAGAAGAAAAUCACUAAUUACAUAUAUGCUACUGGUUCAGAGGUUGGUGAAUUUGUGAAAUUCUUUUAUAUAGUAAUGAAGUUAAAUUCAUUUUUCUC